AAAACAUGAAGAGUCUGUUAAUGAAUGUGAGAUGCUGGAAUAAAGGAGUCUUUGCUCUUCAGCUAUGUGGCAUUGAUCCCACUAAUGGUUUGGCUUCUGAGGAGAGAAAAUCUUUGAUCCGCUCAGCUCCUGUCUACUAGAUGAUAAUGGGAUGAAAAUAAUGCAUAUAAAACAAUUAAUAUACUAUUAAUAAGUUACCCCUUCCUGGGAACAUAGUGCCUUCAGCCAAUGAAGAUGCUCCAGGUCAGGUGCCUUGACCGUCCAUAGGGAAGUUGGGGGAAGCGAAACCAAUAAUAACAGAGUGUAGGACCCAGGCCUCCUGAACCAGCAUGGACCCUGCCACCCCUGUGGCUUUUCUGAAGAUGCCACCCA
This is a long non-coding RNA of Lagenorhynchus albirostris (white-beaked dolphin), 372 nucleotides long. RefSeq lists it as uncharacterized. The transcript has 3 exons. Lineage: Eukaryota; Metazoa; Chordata; Mammalia; Artiodactyla; Delphinidae. The record is from RefSeq and is a predicted model, not a curated record.